AGUUAUACUGUUGUUGAAGUGUGUGGGGUGGGGGUGCUCUCCAUCUGUAAGACCACGGGUGUAGAAAUAGGCUGUAUUAUUUAAUCAACUAGUUUCUUGGUCAAUGUUCUCAGAAGAUGGGUUUGAGGUGUAAGCAGACAGCUCCAGUGGCUGCGGUGACACUAGGGUGCUGUUCUAAAGGCUCUUGGGCUCAAAGAUGGAGGCCACCAGAAUGUCCUCCAUUCAGAAAUGCUUUUCCACAUGAGGAAUUAUCAAUGGACAUGACCGAGCUCCUACAAAUCAAAUCCUCAAGUCAUGAUGAGAUGUCUAUUAUUGAUUUCUUUCUAGUGUGAAGUAUUAUUGGGGGAAUAAGCAAGUGCAGGUCAUUGUCUCUUGCUAUACCCUCCCCCCCCCCCAGUAAAUACAAAUCAAAGAAAAGAAAUAAAAA
Molecule: long non-coding RNA, 427 nt
Filed under: Rattus norvegicus (Norway rat)
Lineage: Eukaryota; Metazoa; Chordata; Mammalia; Rodentia; Muridae
Description: long non-coding RNA NONRATT022115
Source: RNAcentral